UACGUAGGGUGCGAGCGUUAAUCGGAAUUACUGGGCGUAAAGCGUGCGCAGGCGGUUUGUUAAGACCGAUGUGAAAUCCCCGGGUUCAACCUGGGAACUGCAUUGGUGACUGGCAAGCUAGAGUAUGGCAGAGGGGGGUAGAAUUCCACGUGUAGCAGUGAAAUGCGUAGAGAUGUGGAGGAAUACCGAUGGCGAAGGCAGCCCCCUGGGCCAAUACUGACGCUCAUGCACGAAAGCGUGGGGAGCAAACAGG
RNAcentral lists this ribosomal RNA (253 nucleotides) under uncultured bacterium. RNAcentral's name for it is "partial 16S ribosomal RNA". It matches the Rfam family "Bacterial small subunit ribosomal RNA", at positions 524 to 776 of the family's 1533-position model. The record is from RNAcentral.